RNAcentral lists this ribosomal RNA (269 nucleotides) under uncultured Planctomycetales bacterium. RNAcentral describes it as "partial 16S ribosomal RNA". It matches the Rfam family "Bacterial small subunit ribosomal RNA", at positions 565 to 832 of the family's 1533-position model. The record is from RNAcentral. Lineage: Bacteria; Pseudomonadati; Planctomycetota; Planctomycetia; Planctomycetales.
GAGCACGUAGGUGGGUUUGUAAGUCAGAUGUGAAAGCCUUCUGUUCAACGGAAGAAUUGCAUCUGAAACUGCGAGUCUUGAGUGUAGGAGGGGAGAAUGGAACUUCUGGUGGAGCGGUGAAAUGCGUAGAUAUCAGAAGGAGCGCCGGCGGCGAAAGCGAUUCUCUGGCCUAUUACUGACACUCAGUGUGCGAAAGCUAGGGGAGCAAACGGGAUUAGAUACCCCGGUAGUCCUAGCCGUAAACGAUGGGCACUAAGUAGAGGGGUUUU